GACGAGGGAUCCUAGCGUUGUUCGGAAUCAUUGGGCGUAAAGCGGGUGCAGGUGGCUAUGUAAGUCAGAUGUGAAAGCCCAGGGCUCAACCCUGGAAGUGCAUUUGAUACUGCGUAGCUUGAGUGCUGGAGAGGUUACUAGAAUUCUUGGUGUAGUGGUGAAAUACGUAGAUAUCAAGAGGAAUACCGGUGGCGAAGGCGGGUAACUGGCCAGACACUGACACUCAGACCCGAAAGCGUGGGGAUCAAACAGG
RNAcentral lists this ribosomal RNA (253 nucleotides) under uncultured bacterium. RNAcentral's name for it is "partial 16S ribosomal RNA". It matches the Rfam family "Bacterial small subunit ribosomal RNA", at positions 524 to 776 of the family's 1533-position model. RNAcentral also lists the same sequence under 1 other name. The record is from RNAcentral.